ACUGCACAACUAGCUCUUGAAGAUUGACAAGCAUUGUGCUUUGUAAUGAUUGAAAAAUCAUUACCAUGAAUCAAUGAAAAUUGAAAUAUGCUAAACACAAGGUAGAAUUGGAGCUUUGUGCAUAAAA
Vitis riparia (riverbank grape) is the source of this 127-nucleotide long non-coding RNA. RefSeq lists it as uncharacterized. The record is from RefSeq and is a predicted model, not a curated record. The transcript is spliced from 2 exons. NCBI's taxonomy places the organism in Eukaryota, Viridiplantae, Streptophyta, Magnoliopsida, Vitales, Vitaceae.